UAGCGUGAGUUAACUCACCUAACGGUAUUUUGAACAUUUACUUUGGAAUGAGCGGAACCAUUUGGAUAAUGAGCAGAAUUCAUAUUUCAUCUAUCAGUAUUGGUGAAAAUUGGGCCUAAAUUGUUGCAUGACAAAAGGAUAAAGGUGGCCCAAAAAGAAAGGAAAGAGAAAAGCCCAAAAGUUGUCCUAUAAAAGAGCAACAUUAUCACUAAGAAGACAAUUCGCUACAUUUUACACUAGUUUUGAGAACCCUAGCCGCUCACGUUCCUUCACAUACUCAUCGUCCAUCUCAUUCCCUUCCAUUGAAGACCAUUGAAGAAAAGAUUACAUAAUAAUAUCAAGAGGGGAGAUUGUCAUUAAAUCAUUGUCAUAUGCAUAUUCAGAUCUACACCAUUGAAGAGCAUUGAAAAAAAAAACAUUGAAGAAUAUCAAAAGGGGAAAUUGUCAUUGCAUCAUUGCCAUAUGCAUAUUUAGUUCCAUUUUGUGUUUCUCAUAAUCGAUGUCGAUCUACUGCAAAUAAGGUU
Molecule: long non-coding RNA, 524 nt
Organism: Medicago truncatula (barrel medic)
Lineage: Eukaryota; Viridiplantae; Streptophyta; Magnoliopsida; Fabales; Fabaceae
Exons: 3
Source: RefSeq, a predicted model, not a curated record